GGGGAGCGUUCUGUUGUAGGUCGAAGUAUUAGCGUAAGCGGAUAUGGACGAAGCAGAAGUGAGAAUGUCGGCUUGAGUAACGAAAAUAUAGGUGGGAAUCCUAUACCCCGAAAACCCAAGGUUUCCUCCGGAAGGCUCGUCCGCGGAGGGUAAGUCAGGACCUAAGGCGAGGCUGAAAAGCGUAGUCGAUGGACAACGGGUUAAUAUUCCCGUACCAUUUUUUAUGCGAUAUCGAGGGACGGAGAAGGCUAAGCUAGCCGGAUAUUGGUUACCGGUUUAAACGUUCGAGAUGUUGAGAAGCGGAGAAAACGCUUUGAGUUGAGACGUGAGUACGAGACGCUAAGGCGUCGAAGUAGUGUAUGUCAUACUUCCAAGAAAAGCUUGCACUGUCAUUCAUAAAAAAUGCCUGUACCAUAACCGACACAGGUGGGUAGGUAGAGUAUACUAAGGGGCGCGAGAUAACUCUCUCUAAGGAACUCGGCAAAAUAACUCCGUAACUUCGGGAGAAGGAGUGCCUUAUUUAUAUAAGGUUGCAAUAACAAGAUCCAAGCAACUGUUUACCAAAAACACAGGUCUCCGCUAAGUCGCAAGACGAUGUAUGGGGGCUGACGCCUGCCCAGUGCCAGAAGGUUAAAGAAGUUGGUUAGCAAUAGCGAAGCUAGUAACUGAAGCCCUGGUGAACGGCGGCCGUAACAAUAACGGUCCUAAGGUAGCGAAAUUCCUUGUCGGGUAAGUUCCGAC
This 741-nucleotide ribosomal RNA is filed under the name Tripos fusus. RNAcentral's name for it is "partial Bacterial large subunit ribosomal RNA". It matches the Rfam family "Bacterial large subunit ribosomal RNA", at positions 1231 to 1987 of the family's 2925-position model. The record is from RNAcentral. Lineage: Eukaryota; Dinophyceae; Gonyaulacales; Ceratiaceae.